UAAGUACCAUUAAAGAGGCAGCCAC
This 25-nucleotide unclassified non-coding RNA is filed under the name Mus musculus (house mouse). Its description in RNAcentral is "oocyte_clustered_small_RNA1803". The record is from RNAcentral. Lineage: Eukaryota; Metazoa; Chordata; Mammalia; Rodentia; Muridae.